This 588-nucleotide ribosomal RNA is filed under the name uncultured delta proteobacterium. RNAcentral describes it as "bacterial SSU rRNA". It matches the Rfam family "Bacterial small subunit ribosomal RNA", at positions 338 to 916 of the family's 1533-position model. Lineage: Bacteria; Deltaproteobacteria. The record is from RNAcentral.
CCUACGGGAGGCAGCAGUCGGGAAUCUUGCACAAUGGGCGAAAGCCUGAUGCAGCAACGCCGCGUGAGGGAUGAAGGCCCUCGGGUCGUAAACCUCUGUCGGAAGGGAAGAAAGUAUUCUGGGUUAAUACCCCAGAGUAUCGACGGUACCUUCAAAGGAAGCGCCGGCUAACUCCGUGCCAGCAGCCGCGGUAAUACGGAGGGCGCGAGCGUUAUUCGGAAUCAUUGGGCGUAAAGCGCGUGUAGGCGGCUGGGCAAGUCGGAUGUGAAAGCCCGGGGCUCAACCCCGGAAUUGCAUUCGAAACUGCUCAGCUAGAGUCUCGGAGAGGAGGGCGGAAUUCCCGGUGUAGAGGUGAAAUUCGUAGAUAUCGGGAGGAACACCAGUGGCGAAGGCGGCCCUCUGGACGAUGACUGACGCUGAGACGCGAAAGCGUGGGGAGCAAACAGGAUUAGAUACCCUGGUAGUCCACGCCGUAAACGUUGGGUGCUAGGUGUCGCGGGUAUUGACCCCUGCGGUGCCGUCGUUAACGCAUUUAGCACCCCGCCUGGGGAGUACGGUCGCAAGACUAAAACUCAAAUGAAUUGACGG